Molecule: long non-coding RNA, 1169 nt
Organism: Notolabrus celidotus (New Zealand spotty)
Lineage: Eukaryota; Metazoa; Chordata; Actinopteri; Labriformes; Labridae
Exons: 8
Source: RefSeq, a predicted model, not a curated record
UGCAGGUGAUCAACACGCUGCUCUCUCUGGACGGAGCAGCUGAAGGUGUUUCCCAGCUCCUCCACCUUAACUGCACCGUCUCUCCUUAAACACAGUUCAUUGAGUCUUUCUUACAUCUUGCUGCAUCCUCUGUGUCCUUCCUCGUCUUGGAUUUUGUCAUAAAAAGAAUGACGAGCUCUCGAUCCGUCUAUCUCUGAAGCCGAGCAGGCCGAUGAACUUACUGAAAUCUUUGUCAUCCAGGAUGACCGAGCUGUCCUCUAAGACCUGAGGGUGAGAGGGGAGACACGAGGACGACACUGUCUGCAAAGCGUCUCUUCAGAUCUUUGCGUGACUGCCUGGACUCUAUCGGCCAGUCUGCUCUGUCUUUCCUCCAAUCUCACCUUCAUCGCCUGGAAAACUACGUCCAGGAUGCUGCAGGUGCUUUGAGCAGGUUUCAGGUUGGAGGGAAGUGGCGGAGAAUGUCGAUCUGACUUCAGCAUGCACUGAGACUGGAGUAGAGUUUGAAGGGAAACCCUCCUCAUGAAACUUGCGCACACAAGUUUUGCCACAAAAAUUUUCGACGCCCGGCUCAUCUGUAUGAUAUAUUAAGCAAUGGCUGUUUGACUUUGCAGAGAGCGGGAACGGUAAAGCAGAGGAAUCCUGACGCCGCAAGUGGACGGGCCUCAGGGACACUUUCAGAGAGAGGAGGAGUGGGUCAGCAACAGGAACAUGGAACAACGUGGAUGUACUCUGUGGUUCUUUCGUUCCUCAACCCCUUUGCAAACACCUUCUCAUGAAGUCCAAGUUGAGAAACGUCUGCUGUGUGUUGCCGGAGGAGAGAAGAGUGCAUACCUCACACUGCAGCGACUGCCAGAGGCUCUGCAGGCGGCCGGAGCUCGACUGAAACUCCUGAGAAACUGCAGGUAGUCGACUGUUUCAGCACUGCUCUCACACACCUGCAGCAAAGAUGAACACACAAUCAGUGGAAAGGAAGAGAGGAUGAAGAUGAUGGGGCAGGAAAGGGUUUCUGUGAUAGGAGAGGAAAAGACGUGGUAUCCUUUUUUGCAAGAUGCACAAGAAUUUGAUGCAAAGCUGCUUUAAUCUUACAAAUUGAAUAUAUUUCAAAGUAACAAUAUAACAGAUGAUACAAUGUAUAUAAUGAUUUGAUUGAUAUUGUAAUAGUUUAGAAC